Melospiza georgiana is the source of this 191-nucleotide long non-coding RNA. RefSeq lists it as uncharacterized. The transcript has 3 exons. Lineage: Eukaryota; Metazoa; Chordata; Aves; Passeriformes; Passerellidae. The record is from RefSeq and is a predicted model, not a curated record.
CCGCUCCGAGCCCCGCUCCGCGCCCCGCGCCGCCGCUCCGCGCCCGCCGCCGUCCACCUCAGAGCUCGCAGAGGAGGGAUCGCCCGGAGCUCCGGCGCCCCCCAUCCCGGUCCGGCCCGGGAUGCUGCGCGGUGCUGAGCACUGAGGGGCACCAUGGGGUGCGCGGCGUAGCCCCCCGCCGUGGCCACCCC